Molecule: non-coding RNA, 1651 nt
Organism: Podarcis lilfordi (Lilford's wall lizard)
Lineage: Eukaryota; Metazoa; Chordata; Lepidosauria; Squamata; Lacertidae
Source: the annotation of a GenBank genome assembly
CCCUAACAUGUCAGCUGGGCUCAAAUGCGGCACCUGCUUAUCUGAGAAUAAGGCUCCAUUGAACCAAAUGGGGUUUAUUUCUGAACAGACAUUGCGUGUCUUCUCUGAGCUAAGCGCUGCUGAAUUGAGGGAUGUUGCAUUCAUUAGUCACUUCUCCAUAAAGGGGUCUCAAAGUGGUUUAUGGUGCAAAAUUAAAACCAAGCAGAAGAGAGAAUAAAAUAAGAUGUUGCAAUGCUCGUCUGUAAAUAUGUGCAAAGGGGCAGGUCCAACCCACUAGAAAGAGGAGCCGGAAAGAAUUCAUACAAAUAGGAAGACUUUGUUCCAAUGCAUAUGGUGAGGGGUAAUCCGGAUUGGGACCACAACAGCAUCAAAGAGCUUGAAAAACAACCCUUUCUGGAUUGCCUGCUAUUUGCCUGCUGGUCUAUCUCCCUUAGCCUCAUUUACGCAGGCUGACAGUGGCUCUCCAAGCUUUCAGUCAAGGGUCUCUUACAGCCCUACUUGGAAAGGAUGGGGACUGAACCCAAGACCUUCUGCAUGAGCCAUGACCCUUCUUCAUGCAAUUAGUGUCUUGUCUAGUUUGGGCUUCGAAUGCCCGUUGUUGACACUCUAUUCAUAACUCAAAGAAACAUUGUGCAAUGGCCAACGUAUGGUAAAAUCAGGUAUGUUUCCUAUGAUCAUCAAAUAAUACUUGGAAUUUUCUUUUCAACCUGCAGGUGUCAGUCAUUCGCUAUUUUAAUACUCACCAGUUGCAGGGAGAAGGCCCAUCUAGAGAUUGUUGAUUCAUUCCUGUGGAAAGUGGCGGUGCAUUUGAAAGUGUGUGUUUGCAGUUGCGGACACUUGCCAAAGCUGCUCACUUAUAUUUAGACUUGUAGCUCUCCCUAUCCUGAAGCCUAGACAACUGGCUUUAAAAGUUAUGCAUAUCUAUCGGAAUGAAAAUCUACAGACAAAAUUCCCAAACUGAAUGUGCCCUCUUAUGUGCUCCAUAAACCUUAGUGGUCUGCUUAGAUGGGGCCAACGGUAGGGUAAUCUGGCCUCGCCCAUUCUUGCAUAGCUACUAUAUGGCCGUCUAUGGCUCUCUAUUUAGGAAGGCCUUGGAAUAAGAUAUUGCCAGAUCUCAGCUAUUAGACUACACCAACUGGCCUCUCUACCUCAGGGAGGUCCAUCUGACAACUUUGCUGACAUCAUUUUGGCAGCGCCAUUGAAGACUUACCUUUUUUGGCCUUUGAUGGACUGAGGUGGUUUUGCUGAACUGUUAGCUUGGCGCCAAAGCUUCCUGUGGCAGUUGUGUGUGUGUGUGUGUUGCAUCUGUUCUAUAUGUAUUUCCACUGGUAUAAUAUACCGUAAGUCACUUUGAGACCUUUUAAGUAAUAAGUGACAUGUUUAAAUAACAAUGAUGGUGAUAGGCUCCUUUAUAUACACAUGUACCCUAUAAAUUUCAAAAUUGUUCCUUCCUCCAAAAUUCCUGUUUCAAUGUGUUGUGCCACACAGCAGGUGGAUUACACUAGUAGGACUGCAAGAAGUUUUGUAAAGUGGAUUAUCUGAAAUAUUACAAGAAAGAUUAUGAAAAGAAUUAUUAGUUAAGGCAAUUAAAUGCAAUAUAGAAAUUAAGAAAUGCAGAAUAAGUGAUAAAGAACGGAAAAUCAUAGAGGUG